UACAGAGGGUGCAAGCGUUGUCCGGAAUUACUGGGCGUAAAGAGCUCGUAGGUGGUUUGUCGCGUUGUUCGUGAAAACUCACAGCUCAACUGUGGGCGUGCGGGCGAUACGGGCAGACUUGAGUACUGCAGGGGAGACUGGAAUUCCUGGUGUAGCGGUGGAAUGCGCAGAUAUCAGGAGGAACACCGGUGGCGAAGGCGGGUCUCUGGGCAGUAACUGACGCUGAGGAGCGAAAGCGUGGGGAGCGAACAGG
This 253-nucleotide ribosomal RNA is filed under the name uncultured bacterium. RNAcentral describes it as "partial 16S ribosomal RNA". It matches the Rfam family "Bacterial small subunit ribosomal RNA", at positions 524 to 776 of the family's 1533-position model. The record is from RNAcentral.